UCAAGCAAGAAGAGGUUUGCGGCGGAUGCCUGGGAGCUGUCCGGCGAAGAAGGCCGCGGUAAGCUGCGAAAAGCUGCGGGGAGGAGCACACAUCCUGAGAUCCGCAGAUAGCCGAAUGGGGUAACCCGUAUGUCGUAAGGCAUACACCGCGCGCGGGAAGAAGAUACUGCGGCGGAGCGAUACUGCGUGAAGUGAACCAUCUAAGUAACGCGGGAAGAGAAAUCAAAAGAGAUUGCGCAAGUAGCGGCGAGCGAACGCGCAGGAGCCUAAACCCUUAUGUAGGGUGUUGCAGGGCCGCACGGGGAUGACCCGUGGAGUUGGUGAGAAAACCGAUAUGUAGCGGAAGCGUCUGGAAAGGCGCGCGAGACAGCGUGAAAGCCGCGUAUGCGAAAGAUAUCGGACUCCAUGGUGCGGUACCUAAGUAGAGCGGGGCACGAGAAACCCUGUUUGAAUCCGGGUCGACCACGAUCCAAGGCUAAAUACGAGACAGCUACCGACAGCGAAGAGUACCGUGAGGGAACGGCGAAAAGAACCCCGGUGAGGGGAGUGAAAGAGAACCUGAAACCGCAAACCGACAAGAUGUCACGGCGCGUGAGCGUUGUGGCGUGUCUUUUGUAGAAUAAACCUGCGAGUUGCGAUGCGCGGCGAGGCUAAGGGUUGGGAGAUCCGGAGCCGGAGCGAAAGCGAGUGUGAAAAGUGCGAAAAGUCGCGUGUCGCAGACCCGAAGCCAAGGUGAUCUAAUUAUGGGCAGGCUGAAGGCAGGGUGAAACCUGUUGGAGGGCCGAACAGUAAUCUGUUAAAAAAGGUAGUGAUGACCUGUGAUUAGGAGUGAAAGGCUAAACAAACCUGGAAAUAGCUGGCUCUCCCCGAAAUGCCUUUAGGGACAGCCUCAUGCAAAGCGGAAGGAGGUAAAGCACCGGAUGGGAUAGGGGGCGUCACAGUCUACCGACACCAAUCGAACUCAGAAUGCCAUCCGCCAACGCAUGGGAGUGAGACUGUGUGCUCCAAGGUUCAUAGUCGAGAGGGAAACAGCCCGGACCGACGGCAAAGGUCCCGAAAUAACGCUCAGUGUGAAAUGAGGUGCGUCUGCACAGACAGCCAGGAGGUUGGCUCAGAAGCAGCCAUUCCUUAAAAGAGUGCGUAACAGCUCACUGGUCGAGCAGGCGUGCGCAGACAAUGUAACGGGGCUAAGCGUUAUACCGAAGCCGCGGUUCCGCAUCUUGUGAUGCGGGCGGUAGGGGAGCAUUGCGCUAACCGGAGAAGGCGUACCUGUGAGGGGCGCUGGAGGAAGCGGAAGAGAGAAUGCAGGCACAAGUAACGAAAAGACGGGUGAGAUUCCCGUCCGCCGAAAGCCUGAGGAUUCCCGGGUAAAGGCAAUCUGCCCGGGGUAAGUCGGCCCCUAAGGCGAGGACGAAAGUCGUAGUCGAUGGGAAAUCGGUUCAAAAUCCGAUACCCGAUUCAGUUUUGAAGGCAGGACGCAUGAGGUGAAAUCCGGCAGAAGAACGGUAGAUUCUGUCCAAGCGGUAAGGUGUUGAGAGGGCGGUUAAAAGAGCCCUUGAGCUGAGCCGUUACGGGGAGCGGAGCGCAGGCGAAGCGAAGCGGAUGUAAUCAAGGUGCCGGGAAAUACUGUCUAAAGCUAGGCUGAGUCGGACCGUACCGGAAACGGACACACGCAGGCAGGAUGAGUAAUCUAAGGCGCACGAGCGACCCCGCGUUAAGGAACUCGGCAAAAAGCACACGUAACUUCGGAAGAAGUGUGGCUCACGCUGAUAAGGAUGUGAGCGGCAGAAAGCAGGCCCAGGCGACUGUUUACCAAAAACACAGCCAUCUGCGAACCGGCAACGGGACGUAUAGGUGGUGACACCUGCCCGGUACCGGAAGGUUAAGGGGAGGGGUUAGCAGGAAUGCGAAGCUCCGAACCGAAGCCCCGGCAAACGGCGGCCGUAACUAUAACGGUCCUAAGGUAGCGAAAUUCCUUGUCGGGUA
RNAcentral lists this ribosomal RNA (1986 nucleotides) under human metagenome. RNAcentral's name for it is "bacterial LSU rRNA". It matches the Rfam family "Bacterial large subunit ribosomal RNA", at positions 3 to 1978 of the family's 2925-position model. The record is from RNAcentral.